This is an RNA transcript of Cydia fagiglandana, 5941 nucleotides long. RefSeq lists it as uncharacterized. The transcript is spliced from 21 exons. The record is from RefSeq and is a predicted model, not a curated record. NCBI's taxonomy places the organism in Eukaryota, Metazoa, Arthropoda, Insecta, Lepidoptera, Tortricidae.
CAGUGCGGUAUCAAGCGCAGCGCGGUAGGGACGUUUUCUACGCUUCUUUCUAUUGAUUUCCUGAACACCGCGUUAUUGUGAUGUUUUUUAAACAAAAACAUGAUUAAUAGUGCAUAGUCGUUACACUAAUUUGGUCUAGAUUCAGUCGUGUUUCAGUUGUUUCUUAUUUUAAUGAGUUGUGCGUGAUUUUGAGCGAUUCUUGGAUUAUUUUUCGGACAUCAAUUGAGCCUCAAACAAUGUCAUCUAAGAUCACGUACAGAAACAACAUUUAAAUACGAACGAACGAACGACCAAACAUACUAUUAAUACUGUGUUCAUUGUUUAAAACCAUGAACGCGCCCUAAGAGAAAGAGACGGAGCUGGUUCUCAAAAUAGCGCGUUCAGAAAUAGAAAAAAAAAUGGCCUCAGUUGGUGGCGGGACGGCGGCGGGCACGGAUCGCUCGUGGUGGGCUACAACAUGGGGCGCCAUGGCUGACCUUGCCGAGGCGGUCGACGAUCUGAUAUGCAGCUUCGAUUAUAUGGACACAGCCAUGGAUAACCUAGUCAUGCUUAUCUUCAUCUGGCUCCUCUUCUCCAUAGUCCUUCUCGGCAUAGCCAAAUGGGCUUACGGCCGCUUCAAGCCGAAAACUGUUGAACCAGAAAAGCCGAAAGAAGAACCGAAACCGAAGUCUACGGCUACUGAGAUCGUUAACAGCGCUGAUACGGUGUUGGCUACUACUGCUAAAGUUAAAAGUGCUGCGUUUAACUCGUUCAAGCCUAAGCCUAGUGGGUUUGUGCCAGCGACCCCUCCCAACAAGCGUCGCUUGGGACGCAUGUCCCCAGGGCCUGAGGCUCUCCACAAGAAGCACCAAAGCAUCAUAGUACCGACGUGCACGGGCCCGGACCCGCCGAGCGUGCAGUGGGUGAACGACUUAUUGACGUGGUUAUAUAAUGAUCUGGUUAUUGUGAACGAACUAGUGCAGCAAUGGAUUGUGUCCAUGAACGAGUUCUCGAAGAAGUCCGUGGAGGAGCAAGGCAUCGGAGUGGAGCUGGUGCGCGCGCUGGACAGCAACCCGCCCAGCGUGUCCAACGUGUUCUGCGAGUGCGACUCUAAGGACGACGUGACCAUCACGUGUGACUGUGAGGCAACGCCUGCCUUCCAGCUCAAAGCCUUCAGUCAGCGGGGGGAAAAGGUGGAAGUGUCACACUACAGAGUUAAUGUCAACAGGUUCCGUGCUCGCCUCAACGUAGUCUGCAUAACAGAGAAGUUGACGGGAGAGCUAAGAUGCGACGGUUGGCCAGAGGUCAAAGUGGCGCUGGCCCCCGUGGGACCUCUGAAGACGUCCUCCAACGAGGCCAACCUACAACAACUAGUCAGUGACAUCGUGGUGAAUGCGCUCCGAAGCACGCAACUAGCGUUUAAUUUGUCGCACUACCCCACGUGUCCGAGGCUGCGAAGACACUUUGACACGUCGCCGCGGCUGCCCCUCCACUAUGAUUCCAUGUUGUCUCACGACCGCAUGUACGCGUCGACGCCGACGUCGGCGUCCAUGUCCAACGUGCAUCUCGGAGAGAAGAGGCUGCUCGUCAAGGUCGUCGGCGCUAAGGACUUGGGAGGUAAGACGGGCUGCAGCGCGCCAUACUGCGUGGUUGAGAUGGACGAGCCCCCGCAGAAGAACCAGACCGCCUUUAAGAAGGACACUAAACAUCCGCAGUGGGAGGAACAUUUCCUAUUCGAUCUCUCACCACAAACCGCGGAGCUGCUAUUCGAGGUGUACGACCGCACGGGUCCACCUUCCCCCGGCGGAGGCCCAUCCACACACAGGUUCCUUGGACUGGGUCUGGUGGGUAUAGACGAGUUGCUGGCGGCACCUUCGCAGCGGCAACAGAUAGCACUUCAGACGCGCCCUAUGGAAGAGCACGAUAUCUCGGGCACACUCACUGUAGAGUUUCUAUUCAUCGAGGGUGCCGACAUCCCAGACCUCGGUUCCCGACCCGUAAAGAUCAAAGAGUCGCUACGCACGCUAUCACCCCAAGGCCACCUUACCACAACCACCAAGACGAUAUUUAAGCAGAACGGACACGAAAACUCGGCACUGACGGAGUCGGCGCUCCGAGAGUUGGAGCUGAGCCCCACCAACGCAGCCAAUAAGUCCACCCUCAUCAUACACUCCGUGCAAAGGGAGCCAAAGAAGUCAAUUAAGGUCGAACUAACCGACUCCGGUAAAUUCAUCGAAGUGGAGCGCGAAGACACGCUAAACAGCGUGGACUCUGCAGACCUCACCAGCACCACGAUGGAGAGCAUAGACGAGAACAGAACAGAACAGCAUGUGUCGCCGAAUUCGUCGCCGGCGCGGCAAGUUCGGAUCAAGGAGAAUGGUGCUAAGGCGAACGGAGAUACGGAGCAAGGAGACUACGUCCAGAAACCCGAGGAAGCAGCACCAGAACCUGCGCCGCGGCAGAAGAGGAGGAGAGACUUCUUCGGUACCAUUAAAAGAAGGCUGGGCCGGUCGCGCACGCGCGGCGCGUCGCUGGACCUGCCGAGCGACAGCGACGUCGACCAGAGUCGCGUGCGCAGCAUCAGCGCCGAGAGAAACCACCAAGAUAAAGCCCUAUCCGUCCCCAAUAGAAACGUAUAUUCAGCGGGCGCGUCACCAGCGCAAUCUGGCGACGAGUCGAGGACGUCUAGAAGAUCCUCCCUCAGCGAGGUGUCCGGGUUCAGCACGGCGUCGGCGCGCACGUUCGUGCAUGAGGCGUCCACGUUGGUGCUAGAAACACUGGAGGCCGGCAUCAGGAAGCACUACCUGGUUCCGCUGGCCGUGGCCCAGCGGUCGAGGUGGCGGCGGAAGGGCGUGAAGCUGCACAUUUACAACGAGCACACGUUCAUCGCUAAGCAUUUGAGCGGCGGCACGGUGUGCGAGAUCUGUCAGAAAACGAUCGCGCGGCGGCUCGGCAAGCAGGGCUACGAGUGCCGCGACUGCGCGCUCAAGUGCCACAAGCACUGCCACAUCAAGGCCGCCACGGCCUGCCCUUCCUCCUCUGUGCAAAAUAUGGAGCUAUCCAUGCUCCCAGUGCUAAACGAAUAGCGAGCCGCGAGAAGACUGCAAGAAAAGAAACUUUUAUAAACCAAGCAAUUUCCACUAAGGUUUAAACACGGCUUACAUCUCAUCUCCGUACACCGACAAGAAUAUAAGGAUGUUGUGAUUUUUCAGACUAUAUUAAAACGCUUCGAUGCACAAAGCAUUAAGUUUUACCAACAAAUAUUUUAAACUGUCGGUUUUAAACUUGUCGACAAAUAAUACUUAACUAAGGUUAAGGGCUUAGUUAAGUAAUAUUAUGUUUAGAGAAGAUCUCUAAACAUAAUUCAUAAACAAUAGUUAUUUUAUUUGCUUCUAUAUGAUGUCCUAUACAACAUAUAGAACACACACGCUGACAUCGUACCAACGUCAUUUCAGGAUAUUUCAUAACUUAUAAACUUACUUACUUAUUUAUAACUCAUUAGUUAUAAAUUUCUAAAUGUACAAAAAUUACAUAGGUAUGUCUUGAUUAGGUAAAUAUGCCGAGAGAAGAGAACGAGAUGAUAAUAUGUAAUACUAAAUUAUUACGACGAAUUGACUUUUACUUAAAUAAGCAUAAAAGAAACUAAAGUAUAUGUACAUUAAUGUCGACAAGUUUGAAACUGAUCAUAAAACCACAAAUCUCUCUAAGUACAACACUUAUGUACGCUUCUGUACUUUGUAUAUGUAUAGGCUUUUUUACAAAUAUAUUUACAAUAUUAAUGUUAUAAACUAGUUUAUAAGGUAUUAGUGGUUCAGACUGCCUGGAAGGGUAACGUUCGCAAUAAACUGUGUCAUAGCGAAACCAACCUUGUUUAAUGGAUAUAAGUGUUAAAAUCUCUUGAACGUUAUCCAUCGAUAUUGAUACCCGCUUUCUUUGGUAAAAUUAGAAUUAGUUUAGGUAUCGCUAGAGCCCACCCAGCAUUGAAAAUAAUCUAGAAACCACUUAACUAAGACGGUCGGUGAGGUUACUCAGUUAGUAUAAUUUGGUAACCAUAUUAUACUAACUGAACUAUUAUAGAUACUUAAAUAUUAAAUUUUUACCUACUUAAGUAUAAUAAAACCAGUUGCACGAAGUCAGAUAUCGAAACAUAAAGUUAUCAACCGUCUCAGUUAAGCGGUAGACCUAUACCCAUAUGGCUGGGUGCAUAUAGGUACACUUUUAUCUAAUUAUUAUAACAGUCAUAUGACUCCUCUAAAUGUUCUUAGUUUGUGCUCUACUGAUGAAAAAAAUGUGAAAAUACUAUAUUCUUAGAUUUUAUAAAGGUGAUAUGCGUCAAGGUCGAUUUGUAUUAUUUUAAAUUUAAUUUUGUAUUGAAUGAACUUUAAAGGUCAUACUUAUGUCGUCAGUUUCACCUAGUGAAAUUACUAAAUUGUUGAGAAGUCAUUAAGUUUGCCCUAUAGAAAAAUCAAAUAGAAAAUAUCACCAAUUGGUCUGGACGAACCUCACCUUAUGAAAACCAAAUGCACCCAGCCAAGGACCCAUUUAAAAAGCCAGCCAAAUUAUAUAACAGAGAUGUUUCUAUUUAUCUCUACCUCAAACCUAAAAAAAAACAAUUUAGUUACCAAAAUAUACAUCACAUUUUUGUUAAUUUAUGUUGUUAUCUAACUUAAAUAAGGUCCUACGGAGGAAUUGUGACAAACGGUAAAUUACACCUUAAACUUAGUAUACUAAGUGCUAUUUUGCACAAAUUGUGAUCUGAUAUGUUAAAGUGCAAUAAUUAAUACUUAAAACAUUCACUCUUGCUUCGCUUUCAUCGUUACUUAACUACAAAGAAAUCCAAAAAGUAACUUAAGUAGGUACUUUUUGUUAAGUAUCGAUACAUACGAUAUAUGUUAAAAAUAUUCCACUUUAACUCGAAUAAUUUAUUUAAAAGGCCUUUGAAAAGCUAAUUAUGUCAAAGGCACAAAUCUAAUUAAACGCUAUACGUUUUAUACAAAACUCACUCAUACGCCAAGAUCAUGGGCGCAUGCGAGCUAAUAUGAACCUUAGAUAGAAGCAUUAAGGUUAUAUUCACAGCGUCCGUCGAAAUCCUUUUCGGGCGAUGUGAGCAUGUUUACUGGCGACUUUAGGUGUUUUUGAUACCCAAGGGGAUUAACAAACGGAAAAAUCGGAGCUAAAAUUUUAUGAAGAACCUUUGACAUGGUUGAAGUAGCUUUCAGAAUCUCAAUUCUCAAAUGACCUAGUACUCCUGAAUAAUAGGGAGAUAUUGACAUUUUCACUAAUGUGUGAUAUUACUGAUAUUCUUUUUAAUACACAUAAUGAAGUAUACUUGGUCAAGCAGAUCUUGUCAGUAGAAAAAGGCGGCAAAUUUGAAAAUUGUAGGCGCGAAGGGAUAUCAUCUCAUAGAAAAUUUGAAUUUCGCGCCUUUUUCUACUGACAAGAUUUGCUUGACCGUCUAUAUGUGACGAAUUUCUUCAUUGUCUUUCGGAGAACCAAGACCCAAGUAAGAAAGUUUGCUGUAAAAUAAAGUCAUUGAAGGUAAACACGAGAUCUAAUGGGUCAAUUAAACUAACAUUUAUUUAUAUAUCCUCCUCCUAUUAAGGUUAUUUUGAUAUAACCUGAGGAUAGCUCAUGAUACCACCAUUUAUUCACUAUUGCGGCCUCAUUAUUACUAAGACUAAGUUUUUCGCUGGAUACUGCAUUCUGAUCCCACUUCUGAAUUUUCCGCCAUUUUGUAAAUUUAGCGUGCAUAUAACUUUCUAUUUUCAAUUAUUUUAAAAAUUGUAGUAUCCAGUGAAUUGACUAUGUAUAAAAUAAAUAUACACCGACAUUGUAAAUUUCAAUAAUUGUUGACGCAUAAUAUGUGGUUAUGACCGAUAGAUAUUAUUUAUAAAUGUUGCGCAAUGUGUUUUUCUGUAAUUUUAUUUUCUCUUUUUUUAAUAAAAGAAAUGCCUUUUUUAAA